CAGAGCUGCUCAACUCUGCCAGAAACAUACCUGGAAUCAACACAACAGGCGUGUCUAACUGGGGUGGGUAUGCAGUGUCUUGUGGUCUGUUCCUGCUCCAGUCCUGCCCUUCACAUCAAAGAUACUUAAAGAAGGGACUGACCCAGGAGGAGAGAGAGACACAGGAGAGCUCAGAACUGCCCACUGUGGACAAGGUGGAAUCCUUGGGCGAGAAAGCAGACAUUCAGAUUAUUACUCAAUUACUGCAAGUGACUUUAGACCAGAACCUGCACACAUCCUGAUUCACAAUGUAUUAUUUUGUACUAUUUCAAGUGUAAUUACAUGUAGCUGCGAAUGCUUUCUCUGGACAUAUGAGGAAGAAUGUGAUUGGUCAAACAGGUAUACACACUUUAAAUGUGCAUUGUUUAACUUUUCUAAUACAGGGUCUCCCACCUGCUUGUCUCCAUGGAAAUGAUUGUUUUGCCUUGGAUAUUACACAGUAUUAGCCGCAUUAAACAUCUAGUCAGCAUUUCUUUAAUUACAGGUGUUUUUAUUGCUACAAAAAAACAUGUUAUGUAUAUGUACCUCUCCACAGAUCUGAGCUCUAACUUGGAUCGUGCCACCUGUGUGUCUCCGUGGAGUCACAUAAUGUCACACUGUGGAACAUUCCAGGGAAAGCAAUAGCCUCUCUAUGGGGACAAACAGGAAAGUUAUGCAAUGCACAUUUAAAUGACGAGGCUCACAACAGCAGUUACAGAAAAACAUUUUUUCAGUGUAAAGUUAACUGGAGCCAGAGUUGAUGGAGCCCGAUGGAGACAUAGCUAACCCACUAGCCGGGUUAGCUAUCUCCAUUUAGAUAUACAGUCUAUGGUUUGCACUAAAAUUGCCUUGGAGACUUGGAACAGUAGAAAAUACUAUUAAAACACCACCUACACAGUUUAGUAGCAAAAAAAGGUUGAUUUCGUGUUUAAUUAUACAUCUAGUUGGAUACUGCGGCUGUUAUGUGAUGUUAUAACUAUUUCUUUGAAAGACUACGUGUACAAAGCAUUGAUUUUCGGCUGAAGGCGUUACCGUGGUUACCAUUGUGUAUUCAGACUACAUCUUUUCUCUCAGAUUGGCUUUCAUCUGUUUUGUCAUUACAUCUGACAGCCAUAAGUGGGUCUAAGUAAGCCACCAGUUUGAAGACUUCUAACUUAUGUGUUUCCAUGGUUACAACCUAUUAAAAUAGGCUAUAGACCACAGUUGGUGCCAAUUACGUGUAUGUGUUUCAGUUGGGUUAUUUGUCUUACACUCAC
Long non-coding RNA from Boleophthalmus pectinirostris (great blue-spotted mudskipper), 1274 nucleotides. RefSeq lists it as uncharacterized. The transcript has 3 exons. NCBI's taxonomy places the organism in Eukaryota, Metazoa, Chordata, Actinopteri, Gobiiformes, Gobiidae. The record is from RefSeq and is a predicted model, not a curated record.